CCUACGGGCGGCAGCAGUGAGGAAUAUUGGUCAAUGGGCGAGAGCCUGAACCAGCCAAGUCGCGUGAGGGAAGACGGUCCUAUGGGUUGUAAACCUCUUUUGCCGGGGAGCAAAAAGCGGUACGUGUACCGCGUCGAGAGUACCCGGAGAAAAAGCAUCGGCUAACUCCGUGCCAGCAGCCGCGGUAAUACGGAGGAUGCGAGCGUUAUCCGGAUUUAUUGGGUUUAAAGGGUGCGCAGGCGGAAGAUCAAGUCAGCGGUAAAAUUGAGAGGCUCAACCUCUUCGAGCCGUUGAAACUGGUUUUCUUGAGUGAGUGAGAAGUAUGCGGAAUGCGUGGUGUAGCGGUGAAAUGCAUAGAUAUCACGCAGAACUCCGAUUGCGAAGGCAGCAUACCGGCGCUCAACUGACGCUCAUGCACGAAAGUGUGGGUAUCGAACAGGAUUAGAUACCCGAGUAGUC
This 459-nucleotide ribosomal RNA is filed under the name uncultured bacterium. Its description in RNAcentral is "partial 16S ribosomal RNA". It matches the Rfam family "Bacterial small subunit ribosomal RNA", at positions 338 to 795 of the family's 1533-position model. The record is from RNAcentral.